Molecule: ribosomal RNA, 484 nt
Filed under: uncultured bacterium
Lineage: Bacteria
Description: partial 16S ribosomal RNA
Rfam family: Bacterial small subunit ribosomal RNA
Source: RNAcentral
AGUGAACGCUGGCGGCAGGCCUAACACAUGCAAGUCGAGCGGCAGCGGGUCCUUCGGGAUGCCGGCGAGCGGCGGACGGGGGAGGAAUGCAUCGGAAUCUGCCCUGUCGUGGGGGAUAAUCACGGGAAACAUAGGCUAAUACCGCAUACGACCAGCUGGUGAAAGCGGGGGAUCGCAGGAACUCGCGCGAUAGGAUGAGCCGAUGUCCGAUUAGCUAGUUGGCGGGGUAAAGGCUGACCAAGGCGACUAUCGGUGGCUGGUCGGAGAGGCUGAUCAGCCACAUUGGAGCUUGGACACGGCCCAGGCUCCUACGGGAGGGAGCAGAGUGGUACGUUGGGCAGUGGGCGCAAGCCUUGUCCAGUCGUGCGGAGUGGGUGACAGAGGCGUUGGGUUUGUGAAGCCGGUUUGUCGGUUGUAAAAUCGUUUGGGCUAAUACCCCGCGCGGGUGACGGUAACGGAUGAAGAAGCACCGGCUAACUUCGUG